This 433-nucleotide ribosomal RNA is filed under the name uncultured bacterium. RNAcentral's name for it is "partial 16S ribosomal RNA". It matches the Rfam family "Bacterial small subunit ribosomal RNA", at positions 29 to 507 of the family's 1533-position model. The record is from RNAcentral.
AACGAACGCUGGCGGCAUGCCUAACACAUGCAAGUCGAACGAGACCUUCGGGUCUAGUGGCGCACGCGUGCGUAACGCGUUGGAACCUGCCCUUAGGUUCGGAAUAACUCCCCGAAUGGGGUGCUAAUACCGGAUCAUGUCUUCGGACCAAAGUUUUAUCGCCAUUGGAUGGGCUCGCGUUGGAUUAGCUAGUUGGUAGGGUAAAAGCCUCCCAAGGCGAGGAUCCAUAGCUGGUUUGAGAGGAUGAUCAGCCACACUGGGACUGAGACACGGCCCGGAAUCCUACGAGAGGGAGCAGUGGGGAAUAUUGGAAAGUCGGCGAUAGCCUGAUCGAGCAAUGCCGCGUAAGUGAUGAAGGUCUUGGGGUUGUAAAGCUCUUUUACCCGGGAUGAUAAUGACAUUACCGGGAGAAUAAGCACCGGCUAACUCCGUG